UACAGAGGUCUCAAGCGUUGUUCGGAUUCACUGGGCGUAAAGGGUGCGUAGGCGGUCGGGUAAGUCUGAUGUGAAAUCUCACAGCUUAACUGUGAAACUGCAUUGGAUACUAUCCGGCUAGAGGAAUGGAGGGGAGACUGGAAUACUUGGUGUAGCAGUGAAAUGCGUAGAUAUCAAGCGGAACACCAGUGGCGAAGGCGAGUCUCUGGACAUUUCCUGACGCUGAGGCACGAAGGCCAGGGGAGCAAACGGG
RNAcentral lists this ribosomal RNA (253 nucleotides) under uncultured bacterium. RNAcentral's name for it is "partial 16S ribosomal RNA". It matches the Rfam family "Bacterial small subunit ribosomal RNA", at positions 524 to 776 of the family's 1533-position model. The record is from RNAcentral.